AACUUAUAGUUUUUCAGUCACUGUGUUCAAUUUUCUAAGUGCUCCUAUUGCUGAAAGUUCUCUUUAACUGCUCUUUAAGGGCAAUAAGCCGUCAUGAUUGGGAGAGUCCUCUGGAUAAUCCCAGUAUUCCUAAGUUUACUUAUCCUGGUGCUUGGAAUUCCUCUCUAUGCCUUGGCGGCACUCUUAGGUGGUCCUUUGUAUUUUAAAUAUCCGUUUGGGGGAAUACUAGCUCUGGCGAAAGGUUUCGUAAACCUGUGGAUUCAUGCUAAGUUAUUGUUUAAAAAAUAACCAAAUCGAACAAUAAACGAGUCGGGUAUUCUAUA
Long non-coding RNA from Bemisia tabaci, 323 nucleotides. RefSeq lists it as uncharacterized. Lineage: Eukaryota; Metazoa; Arthropoda; Insecta; Hemiptera; Aleyrodidae. The record is from RefSeq and is a predicted model, not a curated record.